Molecule: long non-coding RNA, 1753 nt
Filed under: Homo sapiens (human)
Lineage: Eukaryota; Metazoa; Chordata; Mammalia; Primates; Hominidae
Description: HSALNT0370905
Source: RNAcentral
AGUAAACUGUCUCCAGUGGGGGAGGGAAUGGGGAAGAGGGGAUUAGAAAAGGAAGUUUCAAUUCAAAGCAUGUGCAAACCUCAUCUCCCAGGGCAUACCAAGCAGCAUCAUUAAUAUCUGACCUGUCACUACCAUCUGGAGUGCCAGCUCAUUUCAGACCAAUGAGGGAAAAAGCCUUUGCAGGCAGUUUUCUAAGUGGCACUGGGAAAGGAGUGAAUUGGCUGCUUCAUUAAUAAAGCAGGAUAGAAUGUGGGCACCAGUGCCAGCCAGACAGUCUGCUGCUGCCUGGAGAAUUUGGCUGCAGCAUUGUUUCCAGACUCUCGGCAAAAAAAGUCAAGACCGGAUAUAUGGGGAGAGGAAGGAAGGGAGGAAAUUGGCUGGUUGGUCGGAAGGAACCGGAUGCGACGGCUUCCGGGCCUCCAGGAUGGGAAAAAAAGGUUAAUGAUUCAUCCACACCAUUCAUUCAUGCAUGCAUUCAUUUCAUGAUACUUAUUAAGCAUCUACCACGUGCCACAUUUUCUUCUAGAUGCUGAAGAUACAGGAACCAACAAAUAUUCCUGCCCUUAUGGAGCUUAUAUUCUAAUGAGAGGGACACAGACUGUAAACAUACAAAUAAUUAAAAUACUAUAUCAGAUGGAGAGAAGUAAUUUGGUCAAAAGGUAGCAGGGAAGGAAGAACAGAGCUUGCGCGGGGUGGGUGGAUGGGGGUCCUGAUUUUAAACAGUAAUCACAGAAGGCCUCAUGAAGUGACAUUUGAGUAAAGAUUUUGUAAAGAUACCGUGCUGGUCACUGUUCUAAGCACUUUACAAUUAUUUAUGUCAUGAAUGCUCCCAACAACCCCAAGAAACAUGGCUAUGAUUAUUCUGGUUUUACAAAGAGACUGAGGUUCAGAGAUGCAGUGACUUCAGAGAUCACACAGCUAGAAAGUGGGAGAAUUGGGAUUUGAAUACAGACUUGUCUGAACUUCAGCGGCUGCACGCUUUCAUAUCGGUGCAGACGCUGUCCACAAACCGGGUUUGGGAAAGGGCAAGUUACGGGUGCAAAUGGAGCCUUGCAGGUGCCCACGAAUCGAAUAUGGUGCCACCACCCGUGGGCAAGUGUGGGCGGACUUGAUGGGGGACGGGUGGCUAGCGAUUUUCACAGCGCUGAAUCAGGGCUCUGCGUCUGUGGCCGGGGAGUUCCGUGGCCCAGCUGCAGGCGAGAUGGGGAAACUGAAGCCCUAGAGGAAAAGAAGACUAAAUGUAUUACCAUCUGACCCACUUCCUGGCCAGCCUGUUCACCUGUCUGCUGUUCUUCAUUGAUGUGCAAUCUAAGACUCAGAGAAGCUGGAGAAUUUUCCUAACGUCACACAGCAAAGGAAUGGAAGACUCAGGACAAGAAUACACGAUCCUCUCCUUCCAACAUGUCACCCAGCAGAACAAGAGAAGGAAUCACAAUUGGUCCAUGACAGUCACGGUCAUCUCAUUCCUCUUGCCAGUGGCAGGUGUAUGUGUGAGUUUGCAGCUCAAUCCUGGCCAAGGGGAUCCAAGGACUGCUGAAGAGGCAUGUCUGCACAUGUCACCUAGAACAUCUCCAGCCAUCAUGUGAUCUCUGGGGGAGGCAUUCCCAACUCUCUGAGAGAAGCAGACCAGAAAGAUGGAAAGAAAGCACCUGGCUCCAGGAUGAUGACAUUGAGCCGAUGAAUUAACCACCUUUGUGCUGCUCUAACCUUCAGAGUUCACCUUAACAUGAGAAAAUAAAACCCUUAUUGCUUA